ACAAAUAUUAUUGAUUUCAGUUGUUUUUUUUUAUAUACUCGCAAGUAUAAGAAUGCUUAAAAAUCUUCACACGCUAGAUUAAAAGUCGUAAAAUUCUGACAUAAAAGACGAUAAAAAUUCCUAUAUGAUUAAUUACAAAGGUAUAUUGAUUUAGUUAGGGUCGUUUAACCGUAAAGGAUGGCAUUUUGACCUUGGAGUAACUAUAUAAGUACUUAAUUCAUGAAACACUGAAAUAUUUGUGGAAAACGGUGACAGCACCUACGUAUAGACCGAUUUAUUCUGUAAACUAGGUGUGUUCACUGUUCAAUGUCA
Molecule: non-coding RNA, 312 nt
Organism: Cinara cedri
Lineage: Eukaryota; Metazoa; Arthropoda; Insecta; Hemiptera; Aphididae
Source: the annotation of a GenBank genome assembly